GCAUCCAUAGUUUAAUUGGGAAAACUACAGCCUUCCAAGCUGAAGUCGAGGGUUCGAUACCCUCUGGAUGCU
This 72-nucleotide transfer RNA is filed under the name Escherichia phage Av-05. It matches the Rfam family "tRNA". Rfam says of the family: Transfer RNA (tRNA) molecules are approximately 80 nucleotides in length. Their secondary structure includes four short double-helical elements and three loops (D, anti-codon, and T loops). Further hydrogen bonds mediate the characteristic L-shaped molecular structure. tRNAs have two regions of fundamental functional importance: the anti-codon, which is responsible for specific mRNA codon recognition, and the 3' end, to which the tRNAs corresponding amino acid is attached (by aminoacyl-tRNA synthetases). tRNAs cope with the degeneracy of the genetic code in two manners: having more than one tRNA (with a specific anti-codon) for a particular amino acid; and 'wobble' base-pairing, i.e. permitting non-standard base-pairing at the 3rd anti-codon position. The record is from Rfam by way of RNAcentral. Lineage: Duplodnaviria; Heunggongvirae; Uroviricota; Caudoviricetes.